This 19-nucleotide small nuclear RNA is filed under the name Arabidopsis thaliana (thale cress). Its description in RNAcentral is "snRNA_08637". The record is from RNAcentral. Lineage: Eukaryota; Viridiplantae; Streptophyta; Magnoliopsida; Brassicales; Brassicaceae.
GACUGGUACGUAAUCAAAG